Molecule: ribosomal RNA, 482 nt
Filed under: uncultured bacterium
Lineage: Bacteria
Description: bacterial SSU rRNA
Rfam family: Bacterial small subunit ribosomal RNA
Source: RNAcentral
GAUGAACGCUAGCGGGAGGCUUAACACAUGCAAGUCGAGCGGCAGCGCGGGGGCAACCCUGGCGGCGAGCGGCGGACGGGUGAGGAAUGCAUCGGAAUCUACCUCGUUGUGGGGGAUAACCUCGGGAAACCGGGACUAAUACCGCAUACGACCUACGGGUGAAAGUGGGGGACCUUCGGGCCUCACGCGAUGAGAUGAGCCGAUGCCGGAUUAGCUAGUUGGCGGGGUAAAGCCCACCAAGGCGACGAUCCGUAGCUGGUCUGAGAGGAUGAUCAGCCACACUGGAACUGAGACACGGUCCAGACUCCUACGGGAGGCAGCAGUAGGGAAUAUUGGACAAUGGGCGCAAGCCUGAUCCAGCCAUGCCGCGUGAGUGAAGAAGGCCCUCGGGUUGUAAAGCUCUUUUGUCCGGAAAGAAAGCGCCGGGUUAAUACCCUGGUGUCCUGACGGUACCGGAAGAAUAAGCACCGGCUAACUUCGUG